UACGGAGGAUCCGAGCGUUAUCCGGAUUUAUUGGGUUUAAAGGGUGCUCAGGCGGGAGAUUAAGUCGGCGGUGAAAUUUUGCAGCUCAACUGUAAAAGUGCCUUCGAAACUGGUUUCCUUGAGUGUGGAUGAGGUAGGCGGAAUUUGUGGUGUAGCGGUGAAAUGCAUAGAUAUCACGAGGAACUCCGAUUGCGUAGGCAGCUUACUAAACCAUAACUGACGCUCAAGCACGAAGGCGUGGGGAUCAAACAGGAUUAGAUACCCCGGUAGUCCCU
RNAcentral lists this ribosomal RNA (275 nucleotides) under uncultured prokaryote. RNAcentral's name for it is "partial 16S ribosomal RNA". It matches the Rfam family "Bacterial small subunit ribosomal RNA", at positions 524 to 798 of the family's 1533-position model. The record is from RNAcentral.